Molecule: ribosomal RNA, 468 nt
Filed under: uncultured bacterium
Lineage: Bacteria
Description: partial 16S ribosomal RNA
Rfam family: Bacterial small subunit ribosomal RNA
Source: RNAcentral
GACGAACGCUGGCGGCGUGCUUAACACAUGCAAGUCGAACGGAAAGGCCCUGCUUUUGUGGGGUGCUCGAGUGGCGAACGGGUGAGUAACACGUGAGUAACCUGCCCUUGACUUUGGGAUAACUUCAGGAAACUGGGGCUAAUACCGGAUAGGAGCUCCUGCUGCAUGGUGGGGGUUGGAAAGUUUCGGCGGUUGGGGAUGGACUCGCGGCUUAUCAGCUUGUUGGUGGGGUAGUGGCUUACCAAGGCUUUGACGGGUAGCCGGCCUGAGAGGGUGACCGGCGCACAGGGGGACUAGGGGAGGCCCCAGCCGCCAAGGGGGGGCAGUGGGGGGAAUACUGCCGAAGCGGCGGGGGGCGGGUGGUGAAGGCCCGCGGGUGGGAAACUCGGCUUUUGGGUAAGAACAACUUUGUGAGUUGCUAGGAGCGUGUUGACGGUAAAUGAUAAGAAAGCCACGGCUAACUACGUG